UACGUAGGUGGAGAGCGUUGUCCGGAUUUACUGGGCGUAAAGGGAGCGUAGGCGGACUUUUAAGUGAGAUGUGAAAUACCCGGGCUCAACUUGGGUGCUGCAUUUCAAACUGAAAGUCUAGAGUGCAGGAGAGGAGAAUGGAAUUCCUAGUGUAGCGGUGAAAUGCGUAGAGAUUAGGAAGAACACCAGUGGCGGAGGCGAUUCUCUGGACUGUAACUGACGCUGAGGCUCGAAAGCGUGGGGAGCAAACAGGAUUAGAUACCCU
RNAcentral lists this ribosomal RNA (265 nucleotides) under uncultured prokaryote. RNAcentral describes it as "partial 16S ribosomal RNA". It matches the Rfam family "Bacterial small subunit ribosomal RNA", at positions 524 to 788 of the family's 1533-position model. The record is from RNAcentral.